Molecule: ribosomal RNA, 492 nt
Filed under: uncultured bacterium
Lineage: Bacteria
Description: partial 16S ribosomal RNA
Rfam family: Bacterial small subunit ribosomal RNA
Source: RNAcentral
AGUGAACGCUGGCGGUAGGCCUAACACAUGCAAGUCGAACGGCAGCACAGUAAGAGCUUGCUCUUACGUGUGGCGAGUGGCGGACGGGUGAGGAAUACAUCGGAAUCUACUUUUUCGUGGGGGAUAACGUAGGGAAACUUACGCUAAUACCGCAUACGACCUACGGGUGAAAGCAGGGGAUCUUCGGACCUUGCGCGAUUGAAUGAGCCGAUGUCGGAUUAGCUAGUUGGCGGGGUAAAGGCACACCAAGGCGACGAUCCGUAGCUGGUAGGAGAGGAUGAUCAGCCACACUGGAACUGAGACACGGUACAGACUCCUACGGGAGGAAGCAGUGGGGAAUAUUGGACAAUGGGCGAAAGCCUGAUCCAGCCAUACCGCGUGGGUGAAGAAGGCCUUCGGGUUGUAAAGCCCUUUUGUUGGGAAAGAAAAGCAGCAGGUUAAUACCGCGCUGUUCUGACGGUACCCAAAGAAUAAGCACCGGCUAACUUCGUG